This is a long non-coding RNA of Cuculus canorus (common cuckoo), 2988 nucleotides long. RefSeq lists it as uncharacterized. The transcript is spliced from 3 exons. The record is from RefSeq and is a predicted model, not a curated record. Lineage: Eukaryota; Metazoa; Chordata; Aves; Cuculiformes; Cuculidae.
AUCUGUGGGAUUGGGCUUUGGGGUAGCGUAGCCAAUAUCAUAUAGCAGCCUGGCUCAGAAACAGCUCAUUUUGUACAGCACAUUAAACUCCUGAGGCUACUGAACUGCGACAAAGAUAAACAUGAAAAAUACUUUGAAGGGACACCCCACGGGGAAUGGAUAUCAUUUUCCUGUGGAAUUAACUUUCCUCUAGCUUUUGAAAUGUAUCAUUGUUCCCUUCUGAUUGCACACUCUUGGCCUGAGUAUCUGUCAUCGUAUGGAAAAUGGAAAAUGUGUAGUCUAAUCCUAGUUUUCCAGUUAAUUAUUCCUGCCUCAGAGCCUGUUCUUCGGGAUGGCUUCCAUUCUUCCCAGCUGGACCAAGGCACAAUUCAUACCACAUUGUUUCUUUCAUCUUGUCCUUCUUCAUGGUGAAGAAGGGAUUGCCCGGUUAGGCGUGCAAGCCAAGAGGAGACGCAACUCACCUGUAGUUAGUGAAAGACUCAAGCAGCUUUAAGAGAAUGAAACCUGGAUCACACUUACAUUCCAGAAGAAGGUACACCCUCUUCCUAACACUCAUAGCGAGGUUCUGGUUUAAGAAUUGGUAGAAUACGUUGCAAGUGCUAAACUAGUCUGAUACAUAACCAAUUGCUAUACAAUUCGCAUCUAAGCUAUGGUGUUUAUUCAGCCAUGAAGGGCAGAAAACUAUUACUUAUAUGACUUGGUAACUGUGUAAACACAUCUUCUGCGGAGUUAAGUGCUUAGACAACCCAUGAACUGCAAUGUGUACGUGCAAAUGGCACAUGUGUUUAAAGUAAGGCAGUUAUGAUUGAGGCUACAGCUGAGACUGUUUACUUUUUGGUUGAAAAAAUAAAGUAACUCCCAAUUGUUUUACUAGGAAUGGUCCAAUAUUCUUCAUACCCACAAAAAAAAAUAUGACCAGACUUCAUCACUUCUAUGUUAAAAAUAUAACCCGGUGUUUAACCCCCAUUAAAGCUCUAUGUUUGCAGGAUCGGACCCAAAAUGGUGAGUUUGAAGGAGAAGGGAAAGAAAUUGUUCCAGUAACAGCUCCUGUUCCAAGAUCCUAGUCAAUUUUGUCAUUAGUUAGAAUCAUUAAUAAGGUGAAAUUUGACAGGCUCUUUACAUUAUUGACUUAAAUUUCAAAAACCAGUGUCCAAAAUGCAUUGUUUUGAAAAUCAGUCAGCACCAAUUUGAAGAGAAACGAUUUAUGUGACUCAUUCCUAAUUAUUUUCUGUCUACCUCAAAAGUAAUUGUGCUUUUUAAAAGUUGGCUGCAGUGUUAAUGAAACUAUUUUCUGAUUUGCGGUAAUAAAACCAAUUUUGUUCUAUUGAAACUGUUAGGGAAAAAAUUGGACUCUAUUGGCAUUUAUUGUUUUUCUCUGCAGGCAUUUCAGACUACAUGAAUUAUUUAUUUGUCACUUUGCAGGAGAAAUAAAAAUAUUGCUGCUUAGAUACCUUCAUAAUCCUUAGAGAGGGCAUGUGCCAGCUCUUCCAUUAGCAGAAAUAUAGGAAAAUCAAGCUGCCAGGCAUCCUGGAGUUAAGCAAACUCCUGACAAUCUACUGAGGUUAUUUUGGUGAAAGCCGUGUGUGACACAUCUGAUGGGAACCCAGAUGAAACUAAUUUGGGUAGAUUAGGGAAAAAAAAAGUGUUAUGAUAAACCAUCAUCUCAAAGUGACAUAAAAACAAUGAGGAGGAUCAUGUCCAGCAGAGUUGGGCAGCGAUGGCUUGCCAGUCGCUUUGGUCUUCCUUCUUGGCUCAGCAUGGACGCAGCUGCUGCCCACACUCUGGCCACUGCGCUUAGGAUCUGGCCAAGGUGUGUAUCUCCCUUUGUCACCUCAAAGCAUUAGUUUCACGUCGACUCUUGUCCUCCUGAUGCUCCUGCUGUUUGUGGCUUACCUGCAGCGGGACAGCAAAGACUUCCUAACUUGAUGGUCAGUGCAACAGCCCAGCAAGAGACAGCAGAGGGCUGUGACUGUGCCCGCUGGGAAUCUCUCCUUUGGGCAGCUGGCGCGUAGGGAACGGGGAAAUGAGAGGCCCAGGUUGCCCAGAGAAAUCGUGGCUGCCCCAUCCCGGGAGGUGUUCAAGGCCAGGUUGGACGAGAUUUUGAGCAAAGAGAUCUAGUGGGAGGUGUCCCUGCCCAUGGCGGGGGCUGGAACUGGAUGGGCUUUGAGGUCCCUUCCAACUCAAAACUAUUCUGUGAUUCUAUUUCUCCCAUCAAUCGGGAGGACAGAGCCUCCAGCAUUGUAGCAGCUUCCUGUUCUCCAUGUUGUCACAGAUCAACGCUGGAGGAAUCCCCAAGAUAGGGGCAGCACGGUGAGGACUUAUACAACCCUGUCAUUUCCUUCUUUUCCUCUUCCCAUGCCUUCCCAAAACUCCAGGGCAGCAGUUGCUCUCCACUCCACGUUAGAUUUGUUCCACAGACGUGCUGGAAAUUAACUCCUGCGCUGCUCUCUCCCUUCAGCCCUGCACUGGGAGCUGAGCUAUGACAGGAACAGAGACUGCUUUUACUUCUGUACUAUGGAGGAGAGCCGUGGCAUCCAAUGCUUGCAUGUGCCGCAACAAGAUGCUGAAAAGUAACAAAAUUCAUGAGACAACCAGCAAGUUACUUGGCAACCCCAAGAAGUGUGUGGAGUGAAGGUGGGAGAGCGGGUUUUCCAGCCAUCCAAACACCCAGGAUGUUUUUAACAUUGCAGACAGCGCUGCUCCUUCAUCCACAAAGGAGAGUUAGGGAAUGGAGAUAACCUGCCACGGGAUGCAAACGUUCUUUACGGGUAAGACAGGAAAGAAGAAAUGUGUGAAUCGAUAGGAAGAGAUACGUAAGAAGGUUAGAGAAUGUGACAGUAUGUCUUCUGCAGCUACUGAGGUGCUUUGAGCAAAAUGAGGGGUCUUCGCUAUUUUUAUGUUUUGUAAAAAUGUUGCGUAUUUUAGCUUUUUUGUGGAAUUAAAACAGUUUUAUGUGCUUCCUAGUAAAUGUUUCUGGCAAAUGGUUGC